AGGUUUUAAUCCUUUUCUUUUUA
Molecule: transfer RNA, 23 nt
Filed under: Drosophila hydei
Lineage: Eukaryota; Metazoa; Arthropoda; Insecta; Diptera; Drosophilidae
Also listed under: 1 other name
Description: partial tRNA-Met
Source: RNAcentral